UACAGAGGGGGCAAGCGUUGUCCGGAUUUAUUGGGCGUAAAGAGCGCGCAGGCGGUCGUUCAAGUCGCGUGUGAAAGCCCCCGGCUCAACUGGGGAGGGUCACGCGAUACUGGUCGACUCGAAGGCAGGAGAGGGUAGUGGAAUUCCCGGUGUAGUGGUGAAAUGCGUAGAUAUCGGGAGGAACACCAGUGGCGAAGGCGACUACCUGGCCUGUUUCUUGACGCUGAGGCGCGAAAGCUAGGGGAGCAAACGGG
This 254-nucleotide ribosomal RNA is filed under the name uncultured bacterium. RNAcentral's name for it is "partial 16S ribosomal RNA". It matches the Rfam family "Bacterial small subunit ribosomal RNA", at positions 524 to 776 of the family's 1533-position model. The record is from RNAcentral.